AAUGGCAGGUCAGCAUACUGCCGUGAAUACGUUCCCGGGCCUUGUACACACCGCCCGUCACACCAUGAGAGUUGGAGAUACCCGAAGCCUGUGAGCUAACAGAAAUGGAGCAGCAGUCGAAGGUAGAAUCAAUGAUUGGGGUGAAGUCGUAACAAGGUAAC
This 161-nucleotide ribosomal RNA is filed under the name uncultured bacterium. RNAcentral describes it as "partial 16S ribosomal RNA". It matches the Rfam family "Bacterial small subunit ribosomal RNA", at positions 1340 to 1500 of the family's 1533-position model. The record is from RNAcentral.